RNAcentral lists this ribosomal RNA (489 nucleotides) under uncultured bacterium. RNAcentral's name for it is "partial 16S ribosomal RNA". It matches the Rfam family "Bacterial small subunit ribosomal RNA", at positions 28 to 507 of the family's 1533-position model. The record is from RNAcentral.
GAUGAACGCUAGCUACAGGCUUAACACAUGCAAGUCGAGGGGCAGCAUGAUUGAAGCUUGCUUCAAUCGAUGGCGACCGGCGCACGGGUGAGUAACACGUAUCCAACCUGCCGAUAACUCGGGGAUAGCCUUUCGAAAGAAAGAUUAAUACCCGAUAGUAUAGUAUUUCCGCAUGGUUUCACUAUUAAAGAACUUCGGUUAUCGAUGGGGAUGCGUUCCAUUAGAUAGUUGGCGGGGUAACGGCCCACCAAGUCAACGAUGGAUAGGGGUUCUGAGAGGAAGGUCCCCCACAUUGGAACUGAGACACGGUCCAAACUCCUACGGGAGGCAGCAGUGAGGAAUAUUGGUCAAUGGACGAGAGUCUGAACCAGCCAAGUAGCGUGAAGGAUGACCGCCCUAUGGGUUGUAAACUUCUUUUAUACGGGAAUAAAGUGGAGUAUGCAUACUCCUUUGUAUGUACCGUAUGAAUAAGGAUCGGCUAACUCCGUG